CCGCCGGCGACCGGCGCACGGGUGAGUAACACGUAUGCAACCUGGCCGUGACAGAUGGAUAACCGGGAGAAUCCCGCCUAAUACAACAUAAUGCCGGGAGGGGACAUCCCCUGCCGGCCAAAGGGGGCGACCCCGGUCACGGAUGGGCAUGCGGCGCAUUAGGUAGUUGGUGGGGCAACGGCCCACCAAGCCGACGAUGCGUAGGGGUUCUGAGAGGAAGGUCCCCCACAUUGGAACUGAGACACGGUCCAAACUCCUACGGAAGGCAGCAG
RNAcentral lists this ribosomal RNA (272 nucleotides) under uncultured bacterium. Its description in RNAcentral is "partial 16S ribosomal RNA". It matches the Rfam family "Bacterial small subunit ribosomal RNA", at positions 85 to 354 of the family's 1533-position model. The record is from RNAcentral.